UUCCUUACUUUAUUAGUGAUCAUGAGCAAUUAAGAUGUUAAUGCUGUUAUUUGAGGUAUGAUGAGAUUAAUGGAGCACGCACAGUUCAACCCUUUCAAUUUAAUUGCUGUAACUAUCUGAAAGCUUUUGCACUUAUCUUGCCAUCCAUUUUCUUAACUCCCACAUUUUAAACGUUCAGCAAGAUAUUAGUUUUUUUUUCCAGCUGUGUGGCCUAGCCUACAAAAGAACAUCAAUAAAAGAUU
Molecule: non-coding RNA, 242 nt
Organism: Podarcis lilfordi (Lilford's wall lizard)
Lineage: Eukaryota; Metazoa; Chordata; Lepidosauria; Squamata; Lacertidae
Source: the annotation of a GenBank genome assembly